RNAcentral lists this unclassified non-coding RNA (343 nucleotides) under uncultured fungus. RNAcentral's name for it is "partial contains ITS1, 5.8S rRNA and ITS2". The record is from RNAcentral. Lineage: Eukaryota; Fungi.
AACGCAAAUUGCGCUCGAGGCUUCGGCCAAGAGCAUGUCUGCCUCAGCGUCGGGUUAAAACUCACAUGUCUCAUUAAUUAAUUAAUGAGCACGUGGAACUGACUCUCCCUUGUGUUAUAUUUAAUUAUAUAGCACGUGGGUUAGUUGAAGUUUGCAGCUGCUGCAUCAUGGACCCGUUAAAUGGGCCUCUACUGGGUAAGGCAGUUUUUAAUUGCUCUAAUGCUUUAGUAGAUGGCUUGGGGUUUAUGCUUGUGUGCCGGCACGAACCAGGAAUUAAUAUUUUUAUAUUAAUAAUAUUCUUUUUCUCGACCUGAGCUCAGGCAAGAUUACCCGCUGAACUUAA